UUUUUUUUGAGAGAGAGAGAGAUAGGUAGCACGCCACCUGCUUCGUUUAUUUCAUUUAGAAAUAAACUUAGUUGGAAAUGUGAAUCAACUAGGAUUCGAACAUGGGUCUCGAGUACCAACCACCAAACCUUUUGCCAUUUGUUCUAGGGACGGUCAGUAUCUAUUGUUACAGUGUUAAAAUCUUAAAUCAGUAUGAAUGAUAGAUUAAGACGUCUUACUGUGGAGUGUGUAGAGAGUA
RNAcentral lists this long non-coding RNA (238 nucleotides) under Ananas comosus (pineapple). RNAcentral's name for it is "long non-coding RNA (ACOM_LNC004679)". The record is from RNAcentral. Lineage: Eukaryota; Viridiplantae; Streptophyta; Magnoliopsida; Poales; Bromeliaceae.